AUGAUGGUAUCAGAUGAGAGCACCUUGGGCACUUCAGCAGACUCCUGGCAGGAAACCAACCUGCUGCUCAGAGCUUUCCCAACACCCUCCUCAUCUUCCCUCUGCCUUGGCCUGCACAUCAAACAACUUAUACCUACAGCACAGGCCCCUGUGUGUGAUGUUGGGGGAACAGAAUCUGUUAUCACAAACCCUGGAGGAUCAGACUUCAGAGUGAUCAACAUGAGGCCCAGCUCCUCUCUUCCUCUUUGGACGCUGCAAGGUUUGAUCAAUAGCUGUGCAAUAAAAGGAAGAGUUCACCCAAAAAUGAAAAUCAUGUCAUCAUUUACUCACCCCUCAUGUCAUUCCAAAUCAAUAUGACUUACUUCAUUCUGUGGUACACACAAGGUGCAAUUUUAUAGAAUGUUAUGGCCACUCUAUUCCAUUUAAAGUGAAAGGGGACUUGAGCUGUUUAGGUUCCAAAAUAACCAAAAAGCUCUAUAGACGUAUUAUAGAAGUGGUCCAUGUCACUCUAUUUCAAGUCACUCUGAAAAACUUAAACUCCAACAUAG
Molecule: long non-coding RNA, 548 nt
Organism: Cyprinus carpio carpio
Lineage: Eukaryota; Metazoa; Chordata; Actinopteri; Cypriniformes; Cyprinidae
Source: Ensembl